Molecule: ribosomal RNA, 421 nt
Filed under: uncultured bacterium
Lineage: Bacteria
Description: partial 16S ribosomal RNA
Rfam family: Bacterial small subunit ribosomal RNA
Source: RNAcentral
AAUAUUGGACAAUGGGGGCAACCCUGAUCCAGCCAUGCCGCGUGUGUGAAGAAGGCCNNNUGGUUNUCAAGCACUUUAAGCAUNGACNAAGACUCCCUGGUUAAUACCCAUGGACGAUGACAUUAGCUGCAGAAUAAGCACCGGCUAACUCUGUGCCAGCAGCCGCGGUAAUACAGAGGGUGCAAGCGUUAAUCGGAAUUACUGGGCGUAAAGCGAGCGUAGGUGGCUUAAUAAGUCAGAUGUGAAAGCCCCGGGCUUAACCUGGGAACGGCAUCUGAUACUGGUAGGCUAGAGUAGGUGAGAGGAAGGUAGAAUUCCAGGUGUAGCGGUGAAAUGCGUAGAGAUCUGGAGGAAUACCGAUGGCGAAGGCAGCCUUCUGGCAUCAUACUGACACUGAGGUUCGAAAGCGUGGGUAGCAAAC